RNAcentral lists this long non-coding RNA (560 nucleotides) under Heterocephalus glaber (naked mole-rat). Its description in RNAcentral is "lncRNA (ENSHGLG00100033414.1)". The record is from RNAcentral. Lineage: Eukaryota; Metazoa; Chordata; Mammalia; Rodentia; Bathyergidae.
CUAAUGCCAAGCUUUGCAUACAGUGGUCACAGACACCAGCAGCAUGCUCCCUUUACAGCACCCGUGAUGCGCUUUGUUGGGUUUUUGACUCCUGUGGAAUCGCUGGAAAAACAUCGCCGCUGGUCAUAGGGAACAUGGUUUCCCCUCAGGAGCAAGGGCAAGUCACUGCCCACUGGCACUCUGGGAGGACACAGAAAUACUGCCCAGGACUCAUCCCACAGUCUUGCUGAGGCACAUGCUCUUGCCGGAUGUGCUUCCACACAAAGCCCACUGAGUGAGUACAAGUUCCAAAAGUUAGAUCUGCAAAGGUCUGAGGAUCUUCAGCAUUUUGUCACUCCUGAGCAAGUGAGGAAAGAUGAAGGAAAGAAAUUAAGGAAAAGAAGAAAGCAAGCAAAAAACUUAGCAAAGAUGUCAUUGCAUAAUAGUCCAUUAUGCCUCCAAUUGAGCCGUCAUGAACUAUCAAAGAAAUAAUUGCACAAUAGACCAUAAUGGCUUAAUCGUGUCAACAUCUUUACAUUUACAUAUUUUUUUAAUCAAUGGAAAUUAAGUACAAAAAUGGG